Molecule: transfer RNA, 75 nt
Filed under: Candidatus Falkowbacteria bacterium CG_4_10_14_0_2_um_filter_48_10
Lineage: Bacteria; Candidatus Falkowiibacteriota
Also listed under: 1 other name
Description: tRNA-Arg
Rfam family: tRNA
About the family: Transfer RNA (tRNA) molecules are approximately 80 nucleotides in length. Their secondary structure includes four short double-helical elements and three loops (D, anti-codon, and T loops).
Source: RNAcentral
GCCCUCGUCGUUCAAUGGAUAGGACACAAGAUUCCGGAUCUUGUGAUGCGGGUUCGAUUCCUGCCGAGGGCACCA